CAGCCGCCGCGGUAAUACGUAGGUGGCAAGCGUUGUCCGGAAUUAUUGGGCGUAAAGCGCGCGCAGGCGGCCUAUCCAGUCUGUCUUAAAAGUUCGGGGCUCAACCCCGUGAUGGGAUGGAAACUAGUAGGCUAGAGUAUCGGAGAGGAAAGCGGAAUUCCUAGUGUAGCGGUGAAAUGCGUAGAUAUUGGGAGGAACACCAGUGGCGAAGGCGGCUUUCUGGACUGCAACUGACGCUGAGGCUCGAAAGCCAGGGGAGCGAACGGGAUUAGAUACCCCCGUAGUCCCUGUCUCUUAUACA
RNAcentral lists this ribosomal RNA (301 nucleotides) under uncultured bacterium. RNAcentral's name for it is "partial 16S ribosomal RNA". It matches the Rfam family "Bacterial small subunit ribosomal RNA", at positions 509 to 809 of the family's 1533-position model. The record is from RNAcentral.